Molecule: long non-coding RNA, 325 nt
Filed under: Mus musculus (house mouse)
Lineage: Eukaryota; Metazoa; Chordata; Mammalia; Rodentia; Muridae
Description: long non-coding RNA chr2:98601029-98601354
Source: RNAcentral
AAAGAGGUAUAGAAAUUAUUAAAAGAACACUUAAAAUUCCUGCAAUGAUGAUUGCAAAGAAUGCAGGUGUUGAAAGUUCAACUAUCUUUGAAUAGUUGAGAAAAUUCUGCAGAUUUCCUCAGAAGUUGGUUAUGAUGCCAUACUUGGAGAUUUUGUGAACAUAGUAGAAAAGGGAAUCAUUGACCCAACAAAGGUUGUAAGAACUGCCUUACUGGAUGCUGCUGGUGUGGCCUCCUUGCUAACUACAGCUAAAGCUGUAGUGACAGAAAUUCCUAAAGAGAAGGAUCCUGGAACGGGUGCAAUUGGUGUAAUGGGAGGGGGUAUG